GUGGGUAUAGCUCAAUAUUAGAGUGUGUACUUAGCAUGCACGAGGUCCUAGGUUCUAUCCCCAGUACCUCCA
RNAcentral lists this transfer RNA (72 nucleotides) under Camelus bactrianus (Bactrian camel). It matches the Rfam family "tRNA". Rfam says of the family: Transfer RNA (tRNA) molecules are approximately 80 nucleotides in length. Their secondary structure includes four short double-helical elements and three loops (D, anti-codon, and T loops). RNAcentral also lists the same sequence under 2 other names. Lineage: Eukaryota; Metazoa; Chordata; Mammalia; Artiodactyla; Camelidae. The record is from Rfam by way of RNAcentral.